AUUGAACGCUGGCGGCAUGCCUUACACAUGCAAGUCGAACGGCAGCGGACCUUCGGGUGCCGGCGAGUGGCGAACGGGUGAGUAAUAUAUCGGAACGUACCUUUCAGUGGGGGAUAACGUAGCGAAAGUUACGCUAAUACCGCAUAUUCUGUGAGCAGGAAAGCAGGGGAUCGCAAGACCUUGCGCUGAUUGAGCGGCCGAUAUCAGAUUAGCUAGUUGGUGAGGUAAAGGCUCACCAAGGCGACGAUCUGUAGCGGGUCUGAGAGGAUGAUCCGCCACACUGGAACUGAGACACGGUCCAGACUCCUACGGGAGGCAGCAGUGGGGAAUUUUGGACAAUGGGCGCAAGCCUGAUCCAGCCAUGCCGCGUGAGUGAAGAAGGCCU
RNAcentral lists this ribosomal RNA (385 nucleotides) under uncultured bacterium. Its description in RNAcentral is "bacterial SSU rRNA". It matches the Rfam family "Bacterial small subunit ribosomal RNA", at positions 30 to 417 of the family's 1533-position model. The record is from RNAcentral.